AGCGGCAGGCCUAACACAUGCAAGUAGAACGGUAACAGAGAGAGCUUGCUCUCUGCUGACGAGUUGCGAACGGGUGCGUAACGCGUAUGCAACCUACCCAUAACAGGGGGAUAGCCCAUAGAAAUGUGGAUUAAUACCCCAUAACAUCAUAGAUUGGCAUCAUGAAAUGAUUAAAACUCCGGUGGUUAUGGAUGGGCAUGCGUGACAUUAGCUAGUUGGUGAGGUAACUGCUCACCAAGGCAACGAUGUCUAGGGGUUCUGAGAGGAUGAUCCCCCACACUGGUACUGAGACACGGACCAGACUCCUACGGGAGGCAGCAGUGAGGAAUAUUGCGCAAUGGAGGAAACUCUGACGCAGCCAUGCCGCGUGCAGGAAGACUGCCCUAUGGGUUGUAAACUGCUUUUAUAUAGGAAGAACUACAGCUACGUGUAGCUGUUUGACGGUACUAUACGAAUAAGGACCGGCUAACUCCGUGCCAGCAGCCGCGGUAAUACGGAGGGUCCAAGCGUUAUCCGGAUUUAUUGGGUUUAAAGGGUCCGUAGGCGGGUUAUUAAGUCAGUGGUGAAAUCCUACAGCUCAACUGUAGAACUGCCAUUGAAACUGGUAACCUUGAGUAUAAUUGAAGUGGGCGGAAUGUGUCAUGUAGCGGUGAAAUGCUUAGAUAUGACACAGAACACCGAUUGCGAAGGCAGCUCACUAAGUUAUAACUGACGCUGAGGGACGAAAGCGUGGGUAGCGAACAGGAUUAGAUACCCUGGUAGUCCACGCCGUAAACGAUGUACACUCGUUGCUGGCGAUACACAGUCAGUGACCAAGCGAAAGUGUUAAGUGUACCACCUGGGGAGUACGCU
This 852-nucleotide ribosomal RNA is filed under the name uncultured Bacteroidota bacterium. Its description in RNAcentral is "bacterial SSU rRNA". It matches the Rfam family "Bacterial small subunit ribosomal RNA", at positions 38 to 886 of the family's 1533-position model. Lineage: Bacteria; Pseudomonadati; Bacteroidota. The record is from RNAcentral.